Perca flavescens (yellow perch) is the source of this 210-nucleotide long non-coding RNA. RefSeq lists it as uncharacterized. The transcript is spliced from 3 exons. The record is from RefSeq and is a predicted model, not a curated record. Lineage: Eukaryota; Metazoa; Chordata; Actinopteri; Perciformes; Percidae.
AUCAGGAAGUGAUAAAAAGCUCACCAGGUGUAGUCAUUAGUCCCCUUGCCUCUCACUGAGCGCACUGCAAUUGUGUGGAUUCUCCUGAUUCUCCAGGUUGAUAGCCAGGCACAAGUUCCCGUCCUUCACGGAGUGAACUGGGGCAGAUUGACGUUUACCACUGACAAAUGAGCUGCUGUGGCUGUAGAGCUCCGGAAAAUACUCCUCCUC